UUCAGAAGAGACUCAUUGGCAAGGAAAAGUAUGGCUUAGAAACUUGAUGACGACAGUGAAGUGAACAUAAAGCGAGGUGAAGCUCUCAACACGUUUUGAGCCUUGCUUCAGGGUUUAAGCGCGCUUUAAGCCCCCCUUUGAUAACACUGGCAGCAAGAACAGUUGUUAUCCCUCAUGAUUUCAAAAACAUUGUUGCAAGUAUUCUGGUGGCAUAUAACUUUUCUGGAACUCGUACGCUUACUGUUUUUAUGUUUUUCUGGAUCCAUGAUGCCUUAAUCUAUUUUUCAUUUGAUGCAAAAAGAAAGGGCAACCUGGUGCACUAAAGUGCCCGCUUUGUGCACAAAAAUCUAUUAUAUGCAGCCUUACCUUGCAUUUCUGCCAGAGGUUAUUUCCAAGGCUUGAACCGUGACCUUCCGGUCACAUGACAACAACUUUACCAGUUAGUCCAAGGCUCCCCUUCAUUUGAUGCAAUGCUCUUGAACUUUCCAAAACUGCAUUUUUGUGAGCAGUUUCUGUUGUGACUUGUUUUGGUUAGAACUGGUAUAUCUGUAUGAUUGCUACCCAUUUUGCACUGCCCUAAGAUAGCUUUUUUACUCGUAUAAGGAGCCUUUUAAUUCUACUUGUUGUGAGCUACAAGAUUCGUGUAAUUUUCCUUAAGGAACGCCAAGAAGAUUAUACCUUGUCUCAACAUGGAGUUUCAUGUUUGAGAUUCUUAACAAAUGUAACUUGAUGUUUCCAUUAUAUUCUUGAAUAAUUUUCCCGACCUGAUUUGGUAAAUGUUGCUAGUUCAAAAUGCAAGAAUCUGAGUAAAUGGUUGAUGUUUGCUUUACGGUUGAAGGAUUAGAGCCCAAGACGUGCAUUCGUCUUUGUAUAUAUGUGUGUACUGUAUAAAUAUAUAUUGAGCGUACAUGAGCACAAAUGUGCACCUGUGUAGGCAUGUUUAGGCCACUUUACAAAAACAAACAUCUGGUGUAGUGGAGAAUUACUCAUGAAUUUUGCCAAAUUGGUGAAAGAAAUCUAGAACGCGAUCAGAUGUUGAUCUAUAGCCGUGCCAGUAUGAGACCUAUCAUGGUUCUUCAGUUUCCUUAUUGUACACCCGCUAUGGCAUUCAAGUUUCAG
This 1119-nucleotide long non-coding RNA is filed under the name Capsicum annuum. RNAcentral describes it as "long non-coding RNA (CANN_LNC010848)". Lineage: Eukaryota; Viridiplantae; Streptophyta; Magnoliopsida; Solanales; Solanaceae. The record is from RNAcentral.